GACGAACGCUGGCGGCGUGCCUAAUACAUGCAAGUCGAGCGAAUCUCGAGGAGCUUGCUCCUUGAGGUUAGCGGCGGACGGGUGAGUAACACGUGGGCAACCUGCCUGUAAGACUGGGAUAACACCGGGAAACCGGUGCUAAUACCGGAUAAUUCUUUCCCUCACAUGAGGGAAAGCUGAAAGUUGGUUUCGGCUGACACUUACAGAUGGGCCCGCGGCGCAUUAGCUAGUUGGUGAGGUAACGGCUCACAAAGGCGACGAUGCGAAGCCGACCCGAGAGGGGGAUCGGCCACUCUGGGAGUGAGACACGGCACAGACUUCUACGGGAGACAGCAGUGAGGAAUAUUCGUCGAUGGGGGAAAGCGUGAACGAGCAAUUCCGCGUGAAUGCUGACGGUCCUAUGGAUUGUAAAAGUCUGUUGUUAGGGAAGAACGACGUGUAUAGGAAAUGAUACAGGAGUGACGGUACCUUUCAAGAAAGCUCCGGCUAACUACGUGCCAGCCGCCGCGGUAA
RNAcentral lists this ribosomal RNA (513 nucleotides) under uncultured bacterium. Its description in RNAcentral is "partial 16S ribosomal RNA". It matches the Rfam family "Bacterial small subunit ribosomal RNA", at positions 28 to 523 of the family's 1533-position model. The record is from RNAcentral.